UUUGCUUCAGCAGCACAUUAUAUUAACAUUGAUACAAUAUAGGGGAGAUUAGCCUGGCUCCCAUGCAAGAAUGAUAUGUGAAUUCAUGACAUUUCAUAUUUUUGU
Oryctolagus cuniculus (rabbit) is the source of this 105-nucleotide small nuclear RNA. The record is from Ensembl. NCBI's taxonomy places the organism in Eukaryota, Metazoa, Chordata, Mammalia, Lagomorpha, Leporidae.